Molecule: unclassified non-coding RNA, 222 nt
Filed under: fungal sp.
Lineage: Eukaryota; Fungi
Description: partial internal transcribed spacer region
Rfam family: Eukaryotic small subunit ribosomal RNA (bases 1-46)
Source: RNAcentral
AAGUCGUAACAAGGUUUCCGUAGGUGAACCUGCGGAAGGAUCAUUGCAAAUCAGAAGAGAGAGUUUUGGUAGUUGGGAUCCAAAAGGUCUUGAUUUCCUUACUCGUCUCACAUAUGCACAGCGUACUGAUCUUUGAUCGGUCGCUGAUGUUUACGCUUGUUUGUUUGACAAAUCUAUACAUUAUAAUAUUUAAAACUUUUAACAACGGAUCUCUUGGCUCUU